Molecule: long non-coding RNA, 357 nt
Filed under: Eutrema salsugineum
Lineage: Eukaryota; Viridiplantae; Streptophyta; Magnoliopsida; Brassicales; Brassicaceae
Description: long non-coding RNA (ESAL_LNC001087)
Source: RNAcentral
GCCGCCACCUCCGGCGAGUGCCCACGUGAGUAAAGAUAGAGAAACGACGGCGAGGAGUAGAUAGCCGAGGAUGGAAACAUCGUGUAGGUUUUGGGAUCCAAAAACGGCAGGUAGUGCGAGCAUCCAGUAACUCGUUUCUUUUGAUGCCAGAUUCAUCAACUCCAUUUUGUAUUUUUCCUUUUUUUGAUUUGAUAUUUUUUUUUUCUUGUCAGAUAAUGAACAACGUACGAACCAAUAAUAACAACAACAAAAGAAGAAGAAGCAAAAUAUGUUUUUCUCUGGGAGAAAUUAUAAAAUAGAGCAAGAUUUUACGAGACGAUCAAGGAAAGUACUCUUCUUUUGGGGGGGGUGGGGUGG